RNAcentral lists this ribosomal RNA (755 nucleotides) under uncultured bacterium. RNAcentral's name for it is "bacterial SSU rRNA". It matches the Rfam family "Bacterial small subunit ribosomal RNA", at positions 33 to 783 of the family's 1533-position model. The record is from RNAcentral.
ACGCUGGCGGCAGGCCUAACACAUGCAAGUCGAGCGGUAGAGAGAAGCUUGCUUCUCUUGAGAGCGGCGGACGGGUGAGUAAUGCCUAGGAAUCUGCCUGGUAGUGGGGGAUAACGUUCGGAAACGGACGCUAAUACCGCAUACGUCCUACGGGAGAAAGCAGGGGACCUUCGGGCCUUGCGCUAUCGGAUGAGCCUAGGUCGGAUUAGCUAGUUGGUGGGGUAAUGGCUCACCAAGGCGACGAUCCGUAACUGGUCUGAGAGGAUGAUCAGUCACACUGGAACUGAGACACGGUCCAGACUCCUACGGGAGGCAGCAGUGGGGAAUAUUGGACAAUGGGCGAAAGCCUGAUCCAGCCAUGCCGCGUGUGUGAAGAAGGUCUUCGGAUUGUAAAGCACUUUAAGUUGGGAGGAAGGGCCAUUACCUAAUACGUGAUGGUUUUGACGUUACCGACAGAAUAAGCACCGGCUAACUCUGUGCCAGCAGCCGCGGUAAUACAGAGGGUGCAAGCGUUAAUCGGAAUUACUGGGCGUAAAGCGCGCGUAGGUGGUUUGUUAAGUUGGAUGUGAAAUCCCCGGGCUCAACCUGGGAACUGCAUUCAAAACUGACUGACUAGAGUAUGGUAGAGGGUGGUGGAAUUUCCUGUGUAGCGGUGAAAUGCGUAGAUAUAGGUAGGAACACCAGUGGCGAAGGCGACCACCUGGACUGAUACUGACACUGAGGUGCGAAAGCGUGGGGAGCAAACAGGAUUAGAU